RNAcentral lists this ribosomal RNA (465 nucleotides) under Vreelandella stevensii. Its description in RNAcentral is "partial 16S ribosomal RNA". It matches the Rfam family "Bacterial small subunit ribosomal RNA", at positions 338 to 795 of the family's 1533-position model. The record is from RNAcentral. Lineage: Bacteria; Pseudomonadati; Pseudomonadota; Gammaproteobacteria; Oceanospirillales; Halomonadaceae.
CCUACGGGAGGCAGCAGUGGGGAAUAUUGGACAAUGGGGGGAACCCUGAUCCAGCCAUGCCGCGUGUGUGAAGAAGGCCCUCGGGUUGUAAAGCACUUUCAGUGAGGAAGAACGCCUGGUGGUUAAUACCCAUCAGGAAAGACAUCACUCACAGAAGAAGCACCGGCUAACUCCGUGCCAGCAGCCGCGGUAAUACGGAGGGUGCGAGCGUUAAUCGGAAUUACUGGGCGUAAAGCGCGCGUAGGUGGCUUGAUAAGCCGGUUGUGAAAGCCCCGGGCUCAACCUGGGAAUGGCAUCCGGAACUGUCAAGCUAGAGUGCAGGAGAGGAAGGUAGAAUUCCCGGUGUAGCGGUGAAAUGCGUAGAGAUCGGGAGGAAUACCAGUGGCGAAGGCGGCCUUCUGGACUGACACUGACACUGAGGUGCGAAAGCGUGGGUAGCAAACAGGAUUAGAUACCCGAGUAGUC